Molecule: long non-coding RNA, 2612 nt
Filed under: Daphnia magna
Lineage: Eukaryota; Metazoa; Arthropoda; Branchiopoda; Diplostraca; Daphniidae
Description: uncharacterized LOC116921702, transcript variant X2
Source: RNAcentral
AUUCCCUUCGACAUUAAAUUUAAUAAUCAUUACUUUCCCGGUCGGGAUUUACCCUAGUGGGCAUGUGUCGAUUUUUCUUUUUGCUAAAUCAAAACCGAAUGCCUUUUAUUUGUUUUGCCCUCUUUUUGUUUAUGGCAUUAAUCAUUUAGUCACAAGGAUUCACACGCUUUCGAGUUUUGACGUUCUGUGAUUCCGAUUGCAUCCUUCACCAUUUGAAAGAGCGCUAAAAUAAAUAGUUCAUGAACAACUUAAAGAUAUGCACAGCUGCAGCGAGAUUACGCAAGUUGGUAUCUCUAGGUGAACGUGAUAUUUACGACUGCCAAGUAUGCGAAAGUGAAAUCGUAAAUUAGUUAACAGCCAAAUAACAAUAAAGGGUGGACAUGAAUUUUAACCAAAAGAAGACCACAGUGAACACCUCAUUUCUCUGCGUAAACAUCAGUACAUGACUCGACAUCUGUCUUCUCUUUUUUGUUUUCGGUUUUGGUUCUUUAAAUUCCCUCUUCAACUCAGUUGGUCAUCAGAUAUGCAUGACAUUCUUUACUCUCUAAAAUGACAUGUUCUCAAAUAUGUUUCACAAAUGGGCCUUUUGUGGUUACUUUCCCGAAUUACAUGCGUGUUUUCGUUGCUUUUCAUCGUAAAACAAUUUCCUAUCCAUCACAGAUAAUUGAAUUAAUUUUCGUCAGCGGAAUUUUUUGUUUUAAAGCUAACCCGUCCCCGUAUAGAGCCUAAGGUUGUUCGUUAUCCCUUCAAAAAUUGGGUUCGGCAACCCAAGUGUUACCUACCCACAUUACCGCCUCGAGGCGUCAAAGUGGGCAUGGCCGACCUCCUAUCCCUUUUACCAAGAUUUGGAAAGGUGUUUUGUAGAUUCACUUGAUUCACCGAAGCUUGCCUUAAGCUUCUAGUGUGGGAGGCGUCCAGUACACGAAUAAGGAUUCCUUUAUCCAUUUACAUCUACAGAUUGUUUGACAACACAAAAAUUCUUUUGUGACCUACAUCUAUAUGUGAGAACAAGGACCUACUGGAUGCAUCGAUUGUGAGUAUCUAAAAUCAAAACAAAAACUAGAGAAGCAAAUAAAAUUUUUUUCACGACAUAUUGGGAGAGAACUGGAUGUACAGAUGCCCUGUACAACUGCUGCUGCGAUUGCAAUCAACUGGAUAUCCAUCUUUCCAUCUGAGCAGCGUGCUGCAUUGAGAAAUAUUGCGGACCACUGUUAGUUGCUGUAGCUCAACCGCAGCAAUUUCUUAGUUUCAUACGCGAAAACAACCAAAAGUGCGAAGAAAAGAAACUAAACAGGGGCAAGGCUCUCAGGCAAGUGGAAAAUGAAGCGGUUCAAUCAUGUAUGUUUAAACCUGCCCUCUUUUAGGGACGCGGUGUUUAACAAACAAGAAGUUUAAGGAUGCUGCGUAACGAAAGAGAAGGUGCAAUGUCAUAUUUCAUCUUUUUCAUAAUAAAAGUGGAACGGGGCUUGCAUGGUACGUCUGAAUGAGGACCAAGCUUAAAGUAAACAAGAUGACAAUCCAAUUUGCAUACGUGCUGCUGGUACAAGAAAGUCGACUUUAGUCUACAAUGGAGCUGUGAAGUUUCCUUUGAUGCAACAGGAAGUCGUGUACGUUCUGUUUAGAAUUCAUCUGUCUCUCCGAGGAUCCAGAACAUCUUAAUCAAAACUACACUUACUUGAAGUCGCACAUAUCUUUUAAAGCUUUGUGCAGUUGUGGAUGAUAGAACGCUGCUGAAAAUCACUGCUUUACAAAGAAAAUGUAGACAAUUGUGUUUGAAUAGUUCUCUUUUAAUAAUAACAAAAAGGAUAAUUGCAAUUUUUGCGAAUGUAAACAGAAAUAUUUACGAAAGGGGACAACUACUGUGGGAAAGUGAAGUACCGGAGUAUUCCGGUUAAGUAGCAUGCACCUCAAAGACUUAAACAGCAUCUUCAUUUCCUAUAGAUCCUCCAUACCCACCGGAUCCACCUCCUUGUGGUAAAUAAGGUGUCUGUAAAGGAACACUUGUUCGUGAUUGGAAUAAGGAACUGAUUCCAUCAGCUCCACCAGUAGUGUUACUGUCAUUACGUCCUGCAGUUACGAUUCUUUCGUGAUGAAUUUUCUGACGUUGCCCUAAUCAUACCGAUUUAGCAAUGUGGUGUAUUCUUGCUUGCGAUUGAACUAACCUUUCCCAUUUUCAUUUUCUUCUCCGUCAUAUGUUUUAAUGAAGUCGACUCCUGGUUCAAAAAGAUAAUCGUUUAGUUUUCACAAUUGGAUUGCCAAAUGUUGAAAACUCACCUCUGUCUUGUUUCGCGGUCUUGUUUGCUUCGACGCUGCAUUGAAUCAACAGUAAGAAGCAAACGAUCGAUAAUGUAAUCUGCAGAAAGACGGAAUACCGAAGACGGUGUUCAACUGCUGUUCAAUUCUUUGCGCAGCGGUUAUAAAUACAGCCAGGUGUUGCACCCAUUUUAAUAAAAAGGAAAAUUUGCCAACGUUCAUAUAUUACUCUUGAGCGUUAUUUUCUUUGUCACUUUUUUCUUCCCCCUAGGAUUUUUCUGCUGCGCUUAAUAACCCAAACAAAGGCAAUUAUUAAUGACGUGCAAUCUAUACCGCAACUUUCCAUUCGUUGUCUGCAG